RNAcentral lists this ribosomal RNA (404 nucleotides) under Verrucomicrobiota bacterium. RNAcentral's name for it is "Verrucomicrobia bacterium partial 16S ribosomal RNA". It matches the Rfam family "Bacterial small subunit ribosomal RNA", at positions 355 to 776 of the family's 1533-position model. The record is from RNAcentral. Lineage: Bacteria; Pseudomonadati; Verrucomicrobiota.
UGGGGAAUAUUGGACAAUGGGCGCAAGCCUGAUCCAGCCAUGCCGCGUGAGUGAUGAAGGCCCUAGGGUUGUAAAGCUCUUUCACCGGUGAAGAUAAUGACGGUAACCGGAGAAGAAGCCCCGGCUAACUUCGUGCCAGCAGCCGCGGUAAUACGAAGGGGGCUAGCGUUGUUCGGAUUUACUGGGCGUAAAGCGCACGUAGGCGGACUAUUAAGUCAGGGGUGAAAUCCCGGGGCUCAACCCCGGAACUGCCUUUGAUACUGGUAGUCUUGAGUUCGAGAGAGGGGAGUGGAAUUCCGAGUGUAGAGGUGAAAUUCGUAGAUAUUCGGAGGAACACCAGUGGCGAAGGCGGCUUUCUGGACUGCAACUGACACUGAGGCACGAAAGCGUGGGUAGCAAACAGG